This 782-nucleotide ribosomal RNA is filed under the name uncultured bacterium. RNAcentral describes it as "bacterial SSU rRNA". It matches the Rfam family "Bacterial small subunit ribosomal RNA", at positions 26 to 787 of the family's 1533-position model. The record is from RNAcentral.
AGAAUCAACGCUGGCGGCGUGCCUAACACAUGCAAGUCGAACGCGAAAGCCCCGCAAGGGGUAAGUAGAGUGGCAAACGGGUGAGUAACACGUGGGUGACCUGCCUUCGAGUGGGGGAUAACGUCCCGAAAGGGACGCUAAUACCGCAUGACAUCCUGCUCUUGGACGAGCGGAGAUCAAAGCCGGGGAUCGCAAGACCUGGCGCUUGAAGAGGGGCCCGCGCCUGAUUAGCUAGUUGGUGGGGUAACGGCUCACCAAGGCGACGAUCAGUAUCCGGCCUGAGAGGGCGGACGGACACACUGGGACUGAGACACGGCCCAGACUCCUACGGGAGGCAGCAGUGGGGAAUUGUUCGCAAUGGGCGCAAGCCUGACGACGCAACGCCGCGUGGAGGACGAAGAUCUUCGGGUCGUAAACUCCUGUCGAGCGGGACGAACACCCACCGGGUGAACAAUCCGGAGGGCUGACGGUACCGCUAAAGGAAGCCCCGGCUAACUCCGUGCCAGCAGCCGCGGUAAUACGGGGGGGGCAAGCGUUGUUCGGAAUUACUGGGCGUAAAGGGCUCGUAGGCGGCCAACUAAGUCGGAUGUGAAAUCCCCAGGCUCAACUUGGGAACUGCAUCCGAUACUGGAUGGCUUGAAUCCGGGAGAGGGAUGCAGAAUUCCAGGUGUAGCGGUGAAAUGCGUAGAUAUCUGGAGGAAUACCGGUGGCGAAGGCGGCAUCCUGGACCGGCAUUGACGCUGAGGAGCGAAAGCCAGGGGAGCAAACGGGAUUAGAUACCC